Molecule: transfer RNA, 72 nt
Organism: Crinalium epipsammum PCC 9333
Lineage: Bacteria; Bacillati; Cyanobacteriota; Cyanophyceae; Gomontiellales; Gomontiellaceae
Rfam family: tRNA
About the family: Transfer RNA (tRNA) molecules are approximately 80 nucleotides in length. Their secondary structure includes four short double-helical elements and three loops (D, anti-codon, and T loops).
Source: Rfam
GGGUGACUAGCUCAAUGGUAGAGCAUCGGACUCUUAAUCCGUUGGUUCAGGGUUCGAGCCCCUGGUUACCCA